Molecule: non-coding RNA, 45 nt
Filed under: Schistosoma margrebowiei
Lineage: Eukaryota; Metazoa; Platyhelminthes; Trematoda; Strigeidida; Schistosomatidae
Source: RNAcentral
AUCCAGCUGACGAGUCAAAAAUAGGAUGAAACGCGUGUCCUAGAU